GUGAACGCUGGCGGUAGGCCUAACACAUGCAAGUCGAACGGCAGCACAGUAAGAGCUUGCUCUUACGGGUGGCGAGUGGCGGACGGGUGAGGAAUACAUCGGAAUCUACUUUUUCGUGGGGGAUAACGUAGGGAAACUUACGCUAAUACCGCAUCCGACCUACGGGUGAAAGCAGGGGAUCUUCGGACCUUGCGCGAUUGAAUGAGCCGAUGUCGGAUUAGCUAGUUGGCGGGGUAAAGGCCCACCAAGGCGACGAUCCGUAGCUGGUCUGAGAGGAUGAUCAGCCACACUGGAACUGAGACACGGUCCAGACUCCUACGGGAGGCAGCAGUGGGGAAUAUUGGACAAUGGGCGCAAGCCUGAUCCAGCCAUACCGCGUGGGUGAAGAAGGCCUUCGGGUUGUAAAGCCCUUUUGUUGGGAAAGAAAAGCAGCAGGUUAAUACCCCGCUGUUCUGACGGUACCCAAAGAAUAAGCACCGGCUAACUUCGUG
RNAcentral lists this ribosomal RNA (491 nucleotides) under uncultured bacterium. RNAcentral's name for it is "partial 16S ribosomal RNA". It matches the Rfam family "Bacterial small subunit ribosomal RNA", at positions 29 to 507 of the family's 1533-position model. The record is from RNAcentral.